AUGGCAUACUCAAAUCUCUCUCUGUUUCUCUCUCUCUCUCCCCCAUCUCUGUAUCUCUCUCUGCCUUUCUCUCUCUCUCUCUCUCUCUCUCUCUCUCUCUCUCUCUCUCUCUCUCUCUCUCUCUCUCUCUCUCUCUCUCUCUCUCUCUCUCUCUCUCUCUCUCUCUCUCUCUCUCUCUCUCUCUCUCUCUCUCUCUAUCUCUCUGUCUCUCUCUCUCUCUCUAUCUCUAUCAGUCUCACUCUCUCUCUCUCUCUCUCUAUCUGUCUCUAUGUAUGUCCCGCUCCCUCUCUCUCUCUCUAUGAUUUCCUCUGUCUCUGCUCAUUCUCUCUCUCUCUUUCCUAUCCUCUCUCUCUCCCUCUCCCCUUCUCUAUAUGUCUGUCUCCCAGUCUCUCUCUCUCCCCAUCUCUGUAUCUCUUUCUCUCCCUCUCUCUCUUUCCUUUCCUCUCUCUCUCCCUCUCCCCUUCUCUAUAUCUCUGUCUCCCUGUCUCUCUCUCCCCAUCUCUGUAUCUCUUUCUCUCCCUCUCUCUCUUUCCUUUCCUCUCUCUCUCCCUCUCCCCUUCUCUAUAUCUCUGUCUCCCUGUCUCUCUCUCUCCCCAUCUCUGUAUCUCUUUCUCUCCCUCUCUCUCUUUCCUUUCCUCUCUCUCUCCCUCUCCCCUUCUCUAUAUCUCUGUCUCCCUGUCUCUCUCUCCCCAUCUCUGUAUCUCUCUGUCUUUCCCUCUCUAUUCUCUCUGUUUCUAUCCCUCCAUCUCUCUCUCUGUCUCUCUCCCUGCCUCUCUCCGUAUCUGUCUUUGCUUUUACCUCUCUUUCCCCUCUCUCUCUCCCUCUCCUUCUCCCUCUCUCUCUCUGUGUCUCUCUCUCAAAGCAAACCCCCUACCCUUUCCUAUCCCAGCUCCACCACGUUGCUUAAAGACCAGGGGCUUCCUGUCUCAGUCAAUUCUCCAUUCCAAGAGGCUUCGCUUCCAAGUUCAAGUUCAAAACAAGAUGCUCUGGGCAGUAUGGUCUGGGCAAGGCUAUGUUGGUACUAGGGAAGACAGGGAAAUGAAGUUGGAAGACAAACUCUGUGGCCUUGCUUCAUACCCAGAUAAUUCCCCUCCUCUGGGAAGGCUUCCUCCAUCCCCUGGCUGGUAA
RNAcentral lists this long non-coding RNA (1128 nucleotides) under Monodelphis domestica (gray short-tailed opossum). Its description in RNAcentral is "lncRNA (ENSMODG00000047702.1)". Lineage: Eukaryota; Metazoa; Chordata; Mammalia; Didelphimorphia; Didelphidae. The record is from RNAcentral.